AAAGUCGUAACAAGGUUUCCGUAGGUGAACCUGCGGAAGGAUCAUUACACUCAGUAGAUUUCUACUGCUCGGGGGGAGCGGAAAGUGUUUUGCACGAGUACGCUCUCUUUCUGAAACCCUUGUCUUUUUGCGUACUUCUGUUUCCUCGGCGGGUUCGCCCGCCGGCUGGACAACUCAAUAACCUUUUUAAUUUUCAAUCAGCGUCUGAAUAAUUAUAAUAAUUACAACUUUCAACAACGGAUCUCUUGGUUCUG
RNAcentral lists this unclassified non-coding RNA (254 nucleotides) under Ascomycota sp. RNAcentral's name for it is "partial contains small subunit ribosomal RNA, internal transcribed spacer 1, and 5.8S ribosomal RNA". The stretch from base 1 to 47 matches the Rfam family "Eukaryotic small subunit ribosomal RNA", at positions 1785 to 1831 of the family's 1831-position model. Lineage: Eukaryota; Fungi; Ascomycota. The record is from RNAcentral.